RNAcentral lists this small RNA (68 nucleotides) under Tumebacillus algifaecis. RNAcentral describes it as "Bacillaceae-1 RNA". It matches the Rfam family "Bacillaceae-1 RNA". The record is from Rfam by way of RNAcentral. Lineage: Bacteria; Bacillati; Bacillota; Bacilli; Caryophanales; Alicyclobacillaceae.
CACAGAGGUAGAUCGGCUUAAACCUGCGACGUCCUGUCGCAACGCCGAUCGACUGUACGUCUAGUGGU